GACGAACGCUGGCGGCGUGCCUAAUACAUGCAAGUAGAACGCUGAAGAGAGGAGCUUGCUCUUCUUGGAUGAGUUACGAACGGGUGAGUAACGCGUAGGUAACCUGCCUGGUAGCGGGGGAUAACUAUUGGAAACGAUAGCUAAUACCGCAUAAAAUUGAUUAUUGCAUGAUAAUUAAUUGAAAGAUGCAACUGCAUCACUACCAGAUGGACCUGCGUUGUAUUAGCUAGUUGGUGAGGUAACGGCUCACCAAGGCGACGAUACAUAGCCGACCUGAGAGGGUGAUCGGCCACACUGGGACUGAGACACGGCCCAGACUCCUACAGGAGGCAGCAGUAGGGAAUCUUCGGCAAUGGGGGGAACCCUGACCGAGCAACGCCGCGUGAGUGAAGAAGGUUUUCGGAUCGUAAAGCUCUGUUGUAAGAGAAGAACGGGUGUGAGAGUGGAAAGUUCACACUGUGACGGUAUCUUACCAGAAAGGGACGGCUAACUACGUGCCAGCAGCCGCGGUAAUACGUAGGUCCCGAGCGUUGUCCGGAUUUAUUGGGCGUAAAGCGAGCGCAGGCGGUUAGAUAAGUCUGAAGUUAAAGGCUGUGGCUUAACCAUAGUAUGCUUUGGAAACUGUUUAACUUGAGUGCAGAAGGGGGGAGUGGAAUUCCAUGUGUAGCGGUGAAAUGCGUAGAUAUAUGGAGGAACACCGGUGGCGAAAGCGGCUCUCUGGUCUGUAACUGACGCUGAGGCUCGAAAGCGUGGGGAGCAAACAGGAUUAGAUACCCUGGUAGUCCACGCCGUAAACGAUGAGUGCUAGGUGUUAGGCCCUUUCCGGGGCUUAGUGCCGCAGCUAACGCAUUAAGCACUCCGCCUGGGGAGUACGACCGCAAGGUUGAAACUCAAAGGAAUUGACGGGGGCCCGCACAAGCGGUGGAGCAUGUGGUUUAAUUCGAAGCAACGCGAAGAACCUUACCAGGUCUUGACAUCCCUCUGACCGCUCUAGAGAUAGAGUUUUCCUUCGGGACAGAGGUGACAGGUGGUGCAUGGUUGUCGUCAGCUCGUGUCGUGAGAUGUUGGGUUAAGUCCCGCAACGAGCGCAACCCCUAUUGUUAGUUGCCAUCAUUGAGUUGGGCACUCUAGCGAGACUGCCGGUAAUAAACCGGAGGAAGGUGGGGAUGACGUCAAAUCAUCAUGCCCCUUAUGACCUGGGCUACACACGUGCUACAAUGGCUGGUACAACGAGUCGCAAGCCGGUGACGGCAAGCUAAUCUCUGAAAGCCAGUCUCAGUUCGGAUUGUAGGCUGCAACUCGCCUACAUGAAGUCGGAAUCGCUAGUAAUCGCGGAUCAGCACGCCGCGGUGAAUACGUUCCCGGGCCU
RNAcentral lists this ribosomal RNA (1369 nucleotides) under uncultured bacterium. RNAcentral describes it as "bacterial SSU rRNA". It matches the Rfam family "Bacterial small subunit ribosomal RNA", at positions 28 to 1381 of the family's 1533-position model. The record is from RNAcentral.